Drosophila eugracilis is the source of this 86-nucleotide non-coding RNA. NCBI's taxonomy places the organism in Eukaryota, Metazoa, Arthropoda, Insecta, Diptera, Drosophilidae. The record is from the annotation of a RefSeq genome assembly.
GGUAGCGUGGCCGAGCGGUCUAAGGCGCUGGUUUAAGGCAUCCAGUCUCCCUCGGAGGCGUGGGUUCGAAUCCCACCGCUGCGCCA